CGCCGAGUCCUGCCGCUGCCCGGAUGACCGGUCGACAGAAGUGCAUCGGCAGGAGUGGAGGACCCAGCAAGACGGGUCGCCGGAGAGAUCCGGGCGGUCCUUGGGGUGAAGCCGCGCAAGCGGCCGGGCUACUUCGCCAGCCCGAAUCCGACAGGUCAUCCUUCACAGGCGGCUGACGAAGGGUUG
RNAcentral lists this small RNA (186 nucleotides) under Actinomycetota bacterium. Its description in RNAcentral is "Actinobacteria bacterium c-di-AMP sequence". It matches the Rfam family "c-di-AMP riboswitch aptamer (ydaO/yuaA leader)". From Rfam's summary of the family: This family represents a conserved RNA structure found upstream of the ydaO and yuaA genes in Bacillus subtilis and related genes in other bacteria. The ydaO/yuaA element is thought to act as a genetic "off" switch for the ydaO and yuaA genes in its native state. The record is from RNAcentral. Lineage: Bacteria; Bacillati; Actinomycetota.